This 301-nucleotide ribosomal RNA is filed under the name uncultured bacterium. RNAcentral's name for it is "partial 16S ribosomal RNA". It matches the Rfam family "Bacterial small subunit ribosomal RNA", at positions 509 to 807 of the family's 1533-position model. The record is from RNAcentral.
CAGCAGCCGCGGUAAUACGAAGGGGGCUAGCGUUGCUCAGAAUGACUGGGCGUAAAGGGCGCGUAGGCGGAUUGUUUAGUUAGGCGUGAAAUUCCUGGGCUUAACCUGGGGACUGCGCUUAAUACAGGCAGUCUAGAGUGAGGAAGAGGGUUGUGGAAUUCCCAGUGUAGAGGUGAAAUUCGUAGAUAUUGGGAAGAACACCGGUGGCGAAGGCGGCAACCUGGUCCUUGACUGACGCUGAGGCGCGAAAGCGUGGGGAGCAAACGGGAUUAGAUACCCCUGUAGUCCCUGUCUCUUAUAC